Molecule: ribosomal RNA, 501 nt
Filed under: uncultured bacterium
Lineage: Bacteria
Description: bacterial SSU rRNA
Rfam family: Bacterial small subunit ribosomal RNA
Source: RNAcentral
AGUGAACGUUGGCGGCGUGCCUAACACAUGCAAGUCGAACGAUCCUUGAGAAGCUUGCUUCUCAAGGAGAGUGGCGAACGGGUGAGUAACACGUGAGUAAUCUGCCCUCGAGUGGGGGACAACCUCGCGAAAGCGGGGCUAAUACCGCAUAAUACUCUGCGGCAUAAGCUGUCAGAGUCAAAGCCCUUCGGGGUGCUUGAGGAUGAGCUUGCGUCCUAUUAGCUAGUUGGUGGGGUAAUGGCCUACCAAGGCGACGAUCGGUAGCCGGCCUGAGAGGGUGAUCGGCCACACUGGGACUGAGACACGGCCCAGACUCCUACGGGAGGCAGCAGUGAGGAAUCAUGCGCAAGUCGGGGGAAACCCUGACGCUGCGACGCCGCGGUGGGCGAUGAAGGCCUUCGGGUACGUAAACGCCCUGUCGAGGAGGGAAGAAAGACUCGUUACGAAAAUAUCGUUCGUAGUUUGACGGUACCUCUGGAGGAAGCCCCGGCUAACUCCGUG